Molecule: ribosomal RNA, 500 nt
Filed under: Marinobacter nauticus
Lineage: Bacteria; Pseudomonadati; Pseudomonadota; Gammaproteobacteria; Pseudomonadales; Marinobacteraceae
Description: bacterial SSU rRNA
Rfam family: Bacterial small subunit ribosomal RNA
Source: RNAcentral
AGCCCGUGGGGGCAGCCUUACACAUGCAGUCGAGCGGUAACAGGGGAAGCUUGCUUCCCGCUGACGAGCGGCGGACGGGUGAGUAAUGCUUAGGAAUCUGCCCAGUAGUGGGGGAUAGCCCGGGGAAACCCGGAUUAAUACCGCAUACGUCCUACGGGAGAAAGCAGGGGAUCUUCGGACCUUGCGCUAUUGGAUGAGCCUAAGUCGGAUUAGCUAGUUGGUGGGGUAAGGGCCUACCAAGGCGACGAUCCGUAGCUGGUCUGAGAGGAUGAUCAGCCACAUCGGGACUGAGACACGGCCCGAACUCCUACGGGAGGCAGCAGUGGGGAAUAUUGGACAAUGGGGGCAACCCUGAUCCAGCCAUGCCGCGUGUGUGAAGAAGGCUUUCGGGUUGUAAAGCACUUUCAGUAGGGAGGAAAACCUUAUGGCUAAUACCCAUGAGGCUUGACGUUACCUACAGAAGAAGCACCGGCUAACUCCGUGCCAGCAGCCGCGGUAAU